GGAGUUAGCCGGUGCUUCUUCUGUGAGUGAUGUCCUUCCUGCCGGUUAUUGACCCGCAGGCCUUCUUCCUCACUGAAAGUGCUUUACAACCCGAAGGCCUUCUUCACACACGCGGCAUGGCUGGAUCAGGGUUGCCCCCAUUGUCCAAUAUUCCCCACUGCUGCCUCCCGUAGGAGUCUGGGCCGUGUCUCAGUCCCAGUGUGGCUGAUCAUCCUCUCAGACCAGCUACGGAUCGUCGCCUUGGUGAGCCGUUACCUCACCAACCAGCUAAUCCGACAUAGGCUCAUCCGAUAGCGCGAGGCCCGAAGGUCCCCCGCUUUCCCCCGUAGGGCGUAUGCGGUAUUAGCCUGGGUUUCCCCAGGUUAUCCCCCACUACCCGGGCAGAUUCCUAUGCAUUACUCACCCGUCCGCCGCUCGCCACCAGGGAGCAAGCUCCCCGUGCUGCCGCUCGACUUGCAUGUGUUAGGCCUGCCGCCAGCGUUCAAUCUGAGCCAGAAUCAAACUCUGA
RNAcentral lists this ribosomal RNA (508 nucleotides) under uncultured bacterium. RNAcentral describes it as "partial 16S ribosomal RNA". The record is from RNAcentral.